Lates calcarifer (barramundi perch) is the source of this 3630-nucleotide long non-coding RNA. RefSeq lists it as uncharacterized. Lineage: Eukaryota; Metazoa; Chordata; Actinopteri; Centropomidae. The transcript is spliced from 6 exons. The record is from RefSeq and is a predicted model, not a curated record.
UGCUUGCUGACCUGAAUCGAUGUCUCUGUGUUGCAACUAAACAGAAUACCAUGUGUACCAAAAGAAUAGUUAACAACAUAUACUACAAACUCCCAUGUUUCUGUAAACAGGUGGGCAAAGCCAUGUCAUCUAAUGAGACUGCAGCUUAUGAAAUCCUGAGGUCCCUGGAUGUUGACUAUGUCCUGAUCAUCUUUGGUGGAGUGAUUGGCUACUCAGGCGAUGAUAUUAAUAAGUUCCUGUGGAUGGUGCGCAUCGCAGAGGGGGAGCACCCCAAGGAUAUCAGGGAAAGUGACUAUUUUACACCACAGGGAGAGUUCAGAGUGGACAAAGCCGGCGCCCCCACCCUGCUUAACUGCCUUAUGUACAAAAUGUCUUAUUACCGCUUUGGAGAGAUAUUACGCUUUGCAGUUGGACUUCCCGACACCACCAGGCUUUGACCGGACACGUAAUGCUGAGAUUGGCAACAAGGACAUAAAGCUAAAGCACCUGGAGGAAGCAUUCACAUCAGAGCACUGAUUGGUUAGGAUUUAUAAGGUCAAAAAGCUGGAAAACAGAGACCGUGUGGAGCACGAACUGCGAAGUACUGACACUGUGUUAUGAUGACCCUUUAGCGGCUGGAUUUGCAGUAGUGGAUGAUGAACAAGCCAAGGAUUCAAAGGACUUUGACGUGCAGUUUAUUUACAACAACCACCAUGACACAACUAGAACAAUUGAAAUAGCCAGCCACCAGCAACACAGUUAGAUGGAAAAUGGCUCCUUUUAUACUGUGUCCCUGGUGGACUACAUUGCAUCAUACCAUUGACAGCCACUUGGUCCCUCCCGGAACGUUCUUUUACCCUGUUCGUACCCCGGGGACUUCUUUCGGCCGAACACGGGAGCAGACACAAGAUCGGACCCGUAGAGCCCAGCGCCGGUCACCCGAUACCUGUAUUGUGACAUGUUCAAUACAUAUGCCAUGUAACCAAUCUACACUUACUACUCAAGAUGCAAAUAUCCUGUACAACGCUCUGUGAAUAAUAAAGUGCAAAAUGUCGCUGUUCAUGUUUGUAGUCAUUCGGUACAAGUAAAAUCGUCAUACUCUUCCCCCCACUAUACAAUAUUUACAAGCCAAGGCCGACAGUCACUGGUAACGAAGCGCCCUUCGUUACACACUGUUAAGCAGAGGUACACCUCUAAAAAGAUGGCCAAGAGGAGACGGGGAUACAUCAAGAACAAGCUGUCCCUCAAGAAGGGCAAGAAACUGAUCAAGAAGUCUUUAUAGAAAGCCCACCACCAAAAGAGGCAUUGUGGAUGAGAGAGUGGAAAAAUCUUUAGCACAGAACUUUAAACAAUAACAAGCAGCAAAAGUAAAAAUCCACCUAUUAAGAUGAAUAAGGAACACCAGAGGCUCUCAAGACAUCUUUCAUCAAGAGCAUUCUUACCUGGAGGUCCUGGCUGGAACAGUUACCAUCACCUAGAACAAUGUAUUUAAUCCCCAAUGAUCUUGAUAUGACCUGAUAAGUGGGGUGAAGCAUGCAGAAAACAGGAGAUGUCAGUCUGAGAAUCUCCCCACACUGGUUUUAACCUAAGGAACUGUGACCUUUGACUUGCUUUCCUUUUUGUACUUGAAUGUGCUGUGACUGACUGGUGACAGAGAGAGCAAGACAGAUUAGAUGUCCUUAAUCCAAGGGUUUAGGUUGAUGGAAAAUGAGAGAAAGAAACAGAAAUUUACUUGCUCACCACCCUGCUUCUUUACUUUCAACCAAGUGUCAGUUACAAGUACAGAAAUGAAGCAAUAUGAAUUUGUGCUCACAUGCUUAUGAAACAUCCAUUUGUCAUUUGGUCGGAUCACAGUGAGCACGUAUGUGAUGGGUAGUUUCUUUAAUAUACUUAAUUUAUCUUUUACAUUCUCCUUAGAAUCCAUUGCCUACAGAAAUAUGCAUGUACAUGUGCCGACAAGGAGAAGUCAUUAUGCUUCUUCCAACCUCAUAGUGCUGAACUGACAGGACAUAUUAUUUUAGAACCAGACUGCGUAGGCAACUUAAAGUAUAAUUUUUUUUUUGUUACAACUUGGAAUUGAUUUUCAUAGUUUCUCUUUGUCUGAAAUAACAACAUUGUGCUCUUCAUUGCUGAGACCUGGGAACAUAGUGACAUUGCUUAAAGCCAUGCAACCAUGAGCAGUUAGUUAGGUUGUAAACAAACUUAUUAAAAUGUAUUUGGAAGAGAAUGCUUAAAAAUUACAACCCAAACUGUCAGUUGAAAACAUCCAUUACAGUUUACAGACUGACUUCCUCGCUCAGCUUUGACCCACUGUACAGACUGAAGGUGUGUACACACAGUUCUUCUCUAAAAUGAGGGAUUACUACCAACAUUUUCUUUCAGUUUUAGCACCAGUUAAAGGGUUCUUCCAAUAAAUUAGAAUUGCAAAAAAUUAUUUUACAAAAGAAUGGGCAAAUCAGAGCAGCAGACUGUAAUAUCCUGACUUUUUGUCACGACUGAGCUAGGAACCCCAGAAGCAGAACACAGAUUGCAAGACAAACAACAUUUAUUUGGGAAUAGGUGGUGUAAAGGGGUCAGGAUGGUACUGGUCCAGAGAGGGGUGCUGCGGCAAGUGAAGGAGUCCAGGGGUGGAGAAGGGUUGGCAGGUGGACUGGAGGGAAUGGCAGGUGGGCUGGCAGGCAGGAACUAGACAGAGACAAGGUGAGUAACGAACUGACUAGCAAGGCAAAGAGGAGCCGAAGUUCUCUCAAGACAAACCAUGUACUGGAGUGACGAUCCGGCAGGGAAUGAAGGCAGGAGCAGGGAUUAAGUACAUCCAGGGUGACGAGCUGAUGGGAAACAGGUGAGCUUGAUCGUAGAGGCACGGCAGGUGUGGAGUGGCAGACCCAGCAGGAGAGACAGAGAGCAAGGGGGAGGAGCAGGCAACACAGAGACAAACAAACAGACACUGACAGGCAGGUCAAGGAGCUGACCUCGUGACACUUUUAUUUACUAGUAUGGUUCAAACUCCAAAAACACUGGAACCUACAUUUCUCACAACUGGAUAGUCUUUCAUUAGGUCCUCCUCCUCUCUUAAAUACUUGGUUCUUUCAAACCCCACAACUCCUGUUUAUAAUAAAGGCUUUCAAUUAUAAAUUUUGUUUCUCAAGACCAAUCCAAAAUUACACUUGCUGACAGUGUCAGGGUUUUUUGUUGUUGUUGUUGUUUGGUAAGUUUCUCCACAGAUGACAUUUAAGAAUGGUUUUCACAGACUGAGUAAUCCUCCUUGUAUGUGCCCUUUUUAUUUUUAAUAUUCCCUAAAACUGAAUCUGCCUUAUUCUGUUUCUUGAAACAUAUCCAUCCUGUGUGAGCAGACUUUGAUUCUCUUGUGAGCUUUAGUUAGAACAACACAAUUGUAAAACAAUCCAGGUGGUGGGGAUAGCAUUGGCCUUAUGAGAUGUUAAAAAAAAACAAAAAAAAAAAACAUAUCUUUUCCAGAGCUUCACACAGACAGUGAGUGAGUGUAUUUAUUCCAUGGACAAUGAAGGAUGUGAUGGCUACAGCAAGGGUAGCAUCCUAUCAAGGAUUUUAUUUUGGUUUGGUUUUUGAGGUUUCUCCAUUAAUUGUAACAAUCUUGAUUCAGGUAUGAGAAUGAAACAUGCCUUUCGAAUA